RNAcentral lists this ribosomal RNA (492 nucleotides) under uncultured bacterium. Its description in RNAcentral is "partial 16S ribosomal RNA". It matches the Rfam family "Bacterial small subunit ribosomal RNA", at positions 29 to 507 of the family's 1533-position model. The record is from RNAcentral.
AGUGAACGCUGGCGGUAGGCCUAACACAUGCAAGUCGAACGCAACCACGUUAAGGUUUGGCCUUUCGGGUUGGCGGCGGCCGGACGGGUAAGAAAUCCAUCGAAUACAACUUUUCCUGGGGGAACAACGUGGGGAAACUACCAUUACACCGUAAUCGAACCAACGGCGUAAACCAGGGGUUCUAGGCGCUUUUCCCGUUUCAUUAAGCCGUUGUCGGAUUAGCUAGUUGGCGGGGUAAGGGCCCACCAAGGCGACGAUCCGUAGCUGGUCUGAGAGGAUGAUCAGCCACACUGGAACUGAGACACGGUCCAGACUCCUACGGGAGGCAGCAGUGGGGAAUAUUGGACAAUGGGCGCAAGCCUGAUCCAGCCAUACCGCGUGGGUGAAGAAGGCCUUCGGGUUGUAAAGCCCUUUUGUUGGGAAAGAAAAGCAGCAGGUUAAUACCCCGCUGUUCUGACGGUACCCAAAGAAUAAGCACCGGCUAACUUCGUG